CCGCAGUCCUGACAGAAGAGCGAGCGAGGGUGCAUCAUGACGAGCAACAGGUCGUGUACUGGGAAGAUUUGGUGUUGAUGGAGGAGGCAACAUCUUCAAGGCAAAACCUUAGACCUGAUGCAACAUCAUCCAUACAUGAUGCAUACAUUUUUAUCUUUAAUGUGUAGGCACUUGAAGACCAGUGCCCAAUAUGCACAGGAACAUAUCCAGUGUCAGAAGUAGACCUGCCAUGCCAGCUUUUGUGGAGACAGUGAGGAGGAUGUGAUUCGUCAUGCAGCAGCACAGAUAAACACCACAAAGACAUCUGAAGUCUGUCACGAGAUAACACGUCUGAAGUUGUGGAAACAUAAAAACCAGGAAUUCCAGUCAAUCCCCUGAAAAUCACC
This is a long non-coding RNA of Cyprinus carpio (common carp), 386 nucleotides long. RefSeq lists it as uncharacterized. The record is from RefSeq and is a predicted model, not a curated record. The transcript has 3 exons. NCBI's taxonomy places the organism in Eukaryota, Metazoa, Chordata, Actinopteri, Cypriniformes, Cyprinidae.